GCUGAUGGCGGCGAGGAG
This 18-nucleotide unclassified non-coding RNA is filed under the name Chlamydomonas reinhardtii. Its description in RNAcentral is "small RNA Cre_1782". Lineage: Eukaryota; Viridiplantae; Chlorophyta; Chlorophyceae; Chlamydomonadales; Chlamydomonadaceae. The record is from RNAcentral.